This 498-nucleotide ribosomal RNA is filed under the name uncultured bacterium. RNAcentral describes it as "partial 16S ribosomal RNA". It matches the Rfam family "Bacterial small subunit ribosomal RNA", at positions 30 to 523 of the family's 1533-position model. The record is from RNAcentral.
AUUGAACGCUGGCGGCAUGCCUUACACAUGCAAGUCGAACGGUAACAGGUCUUCGGAUGCUGACGAGUGGCGAACGGGUGAGUAAUACAUCGGAACGUGCCUAGUAGUGGGGGAUAACUACUCGAAAGAGUGGCUAAUACCGCAUGAGAUCUACGGAUGAAAGCAGGGGAUCGCAAGACCUGGUGCUACUAGAGCGGCCGAUGGCAGAUUAGGUAGUUGGUGGGAUAAAAGCUUACCAAGCCGACGAUCUGUAGCUGGUCUGAGAGGACGAUCAGCCACACUGGGACUGAGACACGGCCCAGACUCCUACGGGAGGCAGCAGUGGGGAAUUUUGGGCAAUGGGCGAAAGCCUGAUCCAGCAAUGCCGCGUGCAGGAUGAAGGCCUUCGGGUUGUAAACUGCUUUUGUACGGAACGAAAAGCCCCGGGUUAAUACCCUGGGGUCAUGACGGUACCGUAAGAAUAAGCACCGGCUAACUACGUGCCAGCCGCCGCGGUAA